This 666-nucleotide ribosomal RNA is filed under the name Rhizobiaceae bacterium KAs3-R11. RNAcentral describes it as "bacterial SSU rRNA". It matches the Rfam family "Bacterial small subunit ribosomal RNA", at positions 8 to 722 of the family's 1533-position model. Lineage: Bacteria; Pseudomonadati; Pseudomonadota; Alphaproteobacteria; Hyphomicrobiales; Rhizobiaceae. The record is from RNAcentral.
AGAGUUUGAUCAUGGCUCAGAACGAACGCUGGCGGCAGGCUUAACACAUGCAAGUCGAACGCCCCGCAAGGGGAGUGGCAGACGGGUGAGUAACGCGUGGGAAUCUACCGUACCCUACGGAAUAACGCAUGGAAACGUGUGCUAAUACCGUAUACGCCCUACGGGGGAAAGAUUUAUCGGGGUAUGAUGAGCCCGCGUUGGAUUAGCUAGUUGGUGGGGUAAAGGCCUACCAAGGCGACGAUCCAUAGCUGGUCUGAGAGGAUGAUCAGCCACAUUGGGACUGAGACACGGCCCAAACUCCUACGGGAGGCAGCAGUGGGGAAUAUUGGACAAUGGGCGCAAGCCUGAUCCAGCCAUGCCGCGUGAGUGAUGAAGGUCUUAGGAUUGUAAAGCUCUUUCACCGAUGAAGAUAAUGACGGUAGUCGGAGAAGAAGCCCCGGCUAACUUCGUGCCAGCAGCCGCGGUAAUACGAAGGGGGCUAGCGUUGUUCGGAAUUACUGGGCGUAAAGCGCACGUAGGCGGAUAUUUAAGUCAGGGGUGAAAUCCCGCAGCUCAACUGCGGAACUGCCUUUGAUACUGGGUAUCUCGAGUAUGGAAGAGGUGAGUGGAAUUCCGAGUGUAGAGGUGAAAUUCGUAGAUAUUCGGAGGAACACCAGUGGCGAAGGC